Molecule: long non-coding RNA, 2892 nt
Filed under: Homo sapiens (human)
Lineage: Eukaryota; Metazoa; Chordata; Mammalia; Primates; Hominidae
Description: HSALNT0335032
Source: RNAcentral
GCCGGAGUCGCCUUCUAUUGGCUACACUCCCGGGGACUGGCUGGGCUUUCCGACACCUGAUUGGGCGGAACAGCCCUCUGUACGCCGACAUCAUUGGAGGGCGCUGGAGCCAGGGGGCGGAGCGGGUUCCCCAGGAUUCUUGACCGGGCGCGCUAGUCCGUCCGCUGAGCCGGGCGCGGGGCGCAAGAGCGGAGCUGCGCGAGCCGCUGCGGAGGGAAGGGCUCCUAGCCAAUUGGGGUCUUUGAGGCGAAUGCGAGGCUGGGGCCGGUUGCCUACCGGCCGCUUCUCGCCGAGGCAGUCCAGACUUUUCCCCCGGCGGUGCCCGCUCCAAGACAGCAUCUGUCAACGCUCCUCUUCUCCCCUCCUCCUCCUGCCGGGCCGGGCUCCGCCGGCUGCGGCCGAGAGGACGCGGGACCCGGCGCGGUGAGCCCAUCAGCUGUCAGGCGAGCGGCGAAGCGGCUGGAGGGCGGCGAGAGACACACAAAGAACGCGGUGGGCGGCGGCGGCGAAAGGGGACGGCAACUCCUCCCCGCGCCCGCCGGUGCCACCGCCGGCCGUGCUUGUUCCGAGGCCGCGCAGACAAUGCGGCCGGGCUCGUCCCCGCGUGCCCCAGAGUGCGGAGCGCCCGCGCUCCCCCGACCCCAACUUGACCGUCUCCCGGCUCGCCCAGCCCCCUCCCGGGGUAGGGGCGCCCCCUCCCUCCGGUGGCCGGCGAAGGAAGUCGGUCCGCGGCCGCAGAUCCCGGCAACUUGCGAACCGGGAAAAGUUUGCGGCGCCUCCGCGGGGCGGCGCGACGCGGCCCGCCCCUCGCGUCCGCGGUCAUCGCGGGUGACUUUCUCGACUCGUCGUCAGCCGGGGCCGCAGCGCGGCCGGUGGGGACUGCGGGGCGGGCCGGAGUCCGUCCGAGGGCUCCCGCACCUCGGGCUGCGGGAACAUUAAAAUCUCCCCAGAUGCUCACUGCUCUGAUCAUUUCCCCUACAGCACCAGACAUGUUGGCAUCAUCUCUUAGUUGGGCCAUGUGGCCAGGGAACCCUUCAUGAAACCACCUCUGCAGUCCUGGAGAGUUGCUGUAGAAGAAGGAAAAGAGAGGAAGACAACACAACACAGGAGGGGAUAAGUACCUCUGGACACAAUGGAAGUAGUAGUUGUUGAGCAGAGGGAAAGGGAUAGGAGAAGGAUGUGGACUGCAGUGCUGCAGUGCCAGGAAGUUCGAGGACCUUCAGAAAUCAAUCCAUGGGCUCCACAAGCACUGUAUCAAGAGGCAUUCGAGACCAGUCUGGGCUAGAGGAAAUGGGGAAAAGAAGAGAAGGAAGUGAAAGGAAUCUGUUGAGAGAGCAGGUGAAGUGAUCCAAGAAAAGGCAGUGCCAUGGGAACCAAGAAAGGAGACCAAAAGUGAAGAAUGUUGAGUCUGAGCCAGAGAAGGACUGAUGGAGCCAUUGCCACUGUAGCCUCAGAGAGGGCAGCUUCACUAGAACAAUGGCAGCAGAAUGCAGAUGGAGCCAGCGGGGAGAGGAGUGGACAUGAGAGAAAGAUCCCAUAGCCCUCUUGGUCUUGGUUGGAACAGGAGGAAAAUGAAAACUGGACAUCCAUCUUAGGACUUAAUCCUACGGAGACCACAAGCUGGAAGAGGCACUCAAUACUAGCAUGGCUUCUGUGGCAUUUUGAUGAGUAGUAUGGGCUCCACACUGAAAUAUUAAUAUCUUAUUGUUUUGAUGAUGAUGAUGAUGUUCAUUGGCCCAGGGCAAAAGGUAAAGGUUGUGUUAUAAAGCUGAUCUAUUCAAUAUCUGUGGAUGUUAACUCCACCCCAUCCCCUUAUUGAACAAUUACGAUGCCUAUAAAUAUUGUAUUGAGAAAGAAAAAAAAAACUAAGGCAGAAGAUAUCAUAUUACCUGUCCAUAUGUGACAUUUUGGCUGGCCAAGCCAUAAUGGCCAAAGAGGAGCAACUGUCAAAAUUUAAGUGGGGUUAGAAAAGAAGAGAGGAACUUGCACGUUUGCACCUACAAGGACCCUCUUUUCUCCUCUGGUAGCCAUGGAAACCACUCCUUGGACCUCCUUUCAAGAGACUCUGCAUGGGGAGCACAGUUGACUGACAGCUCCAAUUGCUGCUCCUUCGAGUCCACCAUGGCACUCAUGCCCACGCAAUGUUUCCUCCAGGGUUCUCCAGGUAGAGAUGGAGCAGGUGGGGUUGCCAGAGGCAGGCCAUCAGGCCAUCUUGACUGAUGUGGGACUUCUAAUGCUUCCAGGUCUGAAGGCUCACCUGCCACUUCCUGCUCCCUCCUCCUUUACCCUUCACAGGAGUUUCCUCCCCAUAAAUUUCUUGUGUAUCUAGUCCUGUCUUGGCAUCAGCUUCUUGGAGGACUUGAACUGAUAUGCACUCAACAGCCAGUAAAUCCUGCUAAUUCACAAAAUCCUUGAUUAUCAGUACUAAAGAAAGACACUGGGGGUGAAGAUGUCAUCUUCUAAAAGACUUACUGGGGAUAAUCUACCACCAAAUGUAGGUGGCAAAUGCCAUCUUUGAUCACAUAAUGGAAUCAAUGAAGGAGGUUAUUGAUCUGGUUCAGAGGUGACUUUAGAAUGUCCCAAACCCUUUAAAUAUGUGUGUAUUGAGUAUGUGUGCAAUUCUCCUUGAAGAACAUUUAUACCUUUCAUCUCAUUAAUCUACAAAAUUAUCAGCAGUGGCAGCUAAUUGUCAGUUAACUAGGUAGUUGACAAGUCACAUUAACAUGAAAUCUGUGUUUCAUGUAAAUAAAAAAAAUAAAAUGACUUAUUUUAUGCAAUAAUAGUCAUGCCUCCAUUUUUCACUCCAAACUAAGUGAACUUUAGUCAUCCUAGGAGCUCUGCAAACUAAGCCUCUAGUACAAAAACAAUCAGUACUGCAUUCUUCAUCUAAUU